GAUGAACGCUGGCGGCGUGCUUAACACAUGCAAGUCGAACGGGAAAUAUUUCAUUGAGCCUUCGGUGGAUUUGAUUUAUUUCUAGUGGCGGACGGGUGAUUAACGCGUGGGUAACCUGCCUUAUACAGGGGGAUAACAGUCAGAAAUGGCUGCUAAUACCGCAUAAGCGCACAGAGCUGCAUGACUCAGUGUGAAUAACUCCGGUGGUAUAAGAUGGACCCGCGUUGGAUUAGCUAGUUGGUGGGGGAACGCCACACCACGGCGACGAUCCAUAGCCGGCCUGAGAGGGUGAGCGGACACAUUGGGACUGAGACACGGCCCAGAAUCCUACGGGAGGCAGGAGUGGGGAAUAGUGCACCAUGGGGGAAACCAUGAUGCAGCGACGCCGCGUGAAGGAAGAAGUAUCUCGGUAUGUAAACUUCUAUCAGCAGGGAAGGUAGUGACGGUACCUGACUAAGAAGCCCCGGCUAACUACGUG
This 478-nucleotide ribosomal RNA is filed under the name uncultured bacterium. RNAcentral describes it as "partial 16S ribosomal RNA". It matches the Rfam family "Bacterial small subunit ribosomal RNA", at positions 28 to 507 of the family's 1533-position model. The record is from RNAcentral.